Molecule: ribosomal RNA, 490 nt
Filed under: uncultured bacterium
Lineage: Bacteria
Description: bacterial SSU rRNA
Rfam family: Bacterial small subunit ribosomal RNA
Source: RNAcentral
AACGAACGCUGGCGGCAGGCUUAAACACAUGCAAGUCGAGCGCCCCCGCAAGGGGGAGCGGCAGACGGGUGAGUAACGCGUGGGAAACUACCCUUUGGUACGGAAUAACACAGAGAAAUUUGUGCUAAUACCGUAUGUGCCCUUCGGGGGAAAGAUUUAUCGCCAUAGGAUGUGCCCGCGUAGGAUUAGCUAGUUGGUGUGGUAAUGGCGCACCAAGGCGACGAUCCUUAGCUGGUCUGAGAGGAUGAUCAGCCACACUGGGACUGAGACACGGCCCAGACUCCUACGGGAGGCAGCAGUGGGGAAUAUUGGACAAUGGGCGCAAGCCUGAUCCAGCAAUGCCGCGUGCAGGAAGAAGGCCUUCGGGUUGUAAACUGCUUUUGUACGGAACGAAACGGUCUGGGUUAAUACCCUGGGCUAAUGACGGUACCGUAAGAAUAAGACACCGGCUAACUACGUGCCACGCACGCCGACGGUAAAGCUACGUAGA